AAUUAGCCUAAGCAUUAUGAGAGGCUUUGCACCUGCGUCACGUCACGAUGGUCACGAGCCGCUGCUUGUUAUUUUGCCCGUUAGAGCUGUCUCAUGUUGUUGCUGCAAUUUUAACUGAAGGGAGAGUUUGGCUGGACCGUUACUGGACAUGGAGCAGCACCAUAUGGCAGUCUGCCUCAGGACUGUUUCAUAGUUUUUUCAUCUGACUGGGACUGUGUUUGCCCCCGGGAUGUGAUCGCCAUCAGACCAGGGUUUGAGAGGAAGAGAGACAGCUACUGUUGAUUUAAAGCUGGGGAGCCAAAUCUGUAGGACCAGAGUUAGGAGGUGGAUCGACCCCUGACAAAAGAACCUCCUGAAGCACAGAAUAGUAAGGGACCACCACAACAGACUGAGAAAACAGAAGUGUUGGCGAGUAAUAGAGGACACCCUUCGGCCGAUCG
Long non-coding RNA from Notolabrus celidotus (New Zealand spotty), 440 nucleotides. RefSeq lists it as uncharacterized. The record is from RefSeq and is a predicted model, not a curated record. NCBI's taxonomy places the organism in Eukaryota, Metazoa, Chordata, Actinopteri, Labriformes, Labridae. The transcript is spliced from 4 exons.